Molecule: ribosomal RNA, 253 nt
Filed under: uncultured bacterium
Lineage: Bacteria
Description: partial 16S ribosomal RNA
Rfam family: Bacterial small subunit ribosomal RNA
Source: RNAcentral
GACGUAGGGCGCGAGCGUUGUCCGGAUUUAUUGGGCGUAAAGAGCUCGUAGGCGGUUUGUCGCGUCUGCCGUGAAAAUUCGAGGCUCAACCUCGAACUUGCGGUGGGUACGGGCAGACUAGAGUGUGGUAGGGGAGACUGGAAUUCCUGGUGUAGCGGUGAAAUGCGCAGAUAUCAGGAGGAACACCGAUGGCGAAGGCAGGUCUCUGGGCCACUACUGACGCUGAGAAGCGAAAGCAUGGGGAGCGAACAGG